GGGGGCGUAACUCAUAUGAUAGAGCGCUCGCUUCGCAUGCGAGAUGAACAUGGUUCAAUUCUCUGCACCUCCA
RNAcentral lists this transfer RNA (73 nucleotides) under Ipomoea nil (Japanese morning glory). It matches the Rfam family "tRNA". From Rfam's summary of the family: Transfer RNA (tRNA) molecules are approximately 80 nucleotides in length. Their secondary structure includes four short double-helical elements and three loops (D, anti-codon, and T loops). The record is from Rfam by way of RNAcentral. Lineage: Eukaryota; Viridiplantae; Streptophyta; Magnoliopsida; Solanales; Convolvulaceae.